This 441-nucleotide ribosomal RNA is filed under the name uncultured bacterium. RNAcentral describes it as "partial 16S ribosomal RNA". It matches the Rfam family "Bacterial small subunit ribosomal RNA", at positions 338 to 795 of the family's 1533-position model. The record is from RNAcentral.
CCUACGGGAGGCUGCAGUGGGGAAUAUUGCACAAUGGGGGAAACCCUGAUGCAGCAACGCCGCGUGAGUGAAGGAGUAUUUCGGUAUGUAAAGCUCUAUCAGUAAGGAAGAAGGAAGACGGUACCUGACUAAGAAGCCCCGGCUAACUACGUGCCAGCAGCCGCGGUAAUACGUAGGGGGCCAGCGUUAUCCGGAUUUACUGGGUGUAAAGGGAGCGUAGACGGCUGGGCAAGUCUGAGGUGAAAGCCCGUGGCUCAACCGCGGAACUGCUGUGGAAACUGGAUGGCUUGAGUACUGAAGAGGCAGGCGGAAUUCCUAGUGUAGCGGUGAAAUGCGUAGAUAUUAGGAGGAACACCAGUGGCGAAGGCGGCGUGCUGGACAGAAACAGACGUUGAGGCUCGAAAGCGUGGGGAGCAAACAGGAUUAGAUACCCGAGUAGUC